Molecule: ribosomal RNA, 414 nt
Filed under: uncultured bacterium
Lineage: Bacteria
Description: partial 16S ribosomal RNA
Rfam family: Bacterial small subunit ribosomal RNA
Source: RNAcentral
AAUCUUGCGCAAUGGAGGGAACUCUGACGCAGCGACGCCGCGUGAGUGAUGAAGGUCUUCGGAUCGUAAAGCUCUGUCCUUGGGGAAGAAGAUCGCCUUUUAGGCGAUUUGACGGUACCCAUGGGGGAAGCCCCGGCUAACUACUUGCCAGCAGCCGCGGUAAUACGUAGGUGGCAAGCGUUGUCCGGAUUUAUUGGGCGUAAAGCGCGCGCAGGCGGUCUUUUAAGUCUGAUGUGAAAUCUUACAGCUUAACUGUAAGCGGUCAUUGGAAACUGGGAGACUUGAGUGCAGAAGAGGAGAGUGGAAUUCCAUGUGUAGCGGUGAAAUGCGUAGAGAUAUGGAGGAACACCAGUGGCGAAGGCGACUCUCUGGUCUGUAACUGACGCUGAGGCGCGAAAGCGUGGGGAUCAAACA